AGAUACCCUAUUAUUCUAAUCGUUAAAAAAUAAAAUCAGAGUAGUAAUAGUUAUGUUCUUGAAACUCAAAGAAUUUGGCGGUGUUUUAGUCUUGUCAGAGGAACUUGCCCCGUAAUCGAUAAUCCUCGAUUUACUUUACUUAAUUUGGUUAAUAGCUUGUAUACCGCCGUCAACAGGAUAUUCUAGAAAGAAAUGUUCAAGAUUUUAAAUAGUAAAAUAUGUCAGGUCAAGGUGCAGCUAAUGGUUAAGAGGAGGUGAGUUACAAUAUAUUAAUAUACAUGGAUUUGGAAUUGAAAGAUUUUAAUGAAGGUGGAUUUGGGUGUAAUAAAAUUAACAUAAAUUUUAUGAUAUAAAGCUCUAAAACAUGCACACAUCGCCCGUCG
Molecule: ribosomal RNA, 383 nt
Filed under: Hexagenia sp. BYU IGCEP003
Lineage: Eukaryota; Metazoa; Arthropoda; Insecta; Ephemeroptera; Ephemeridae
Description: partial 12S ribosomal RNA
Source: RNAcentral